Molecule: ribosomal RNA, 719 nt
Filed under: Enterococcus sp. Da-19
Lineage: Bacteria; Bacillati; Bacillota; Bacilli; Lactobacillales; Enterococcaceae
Description: bacterial SSU rRNA
Rfam family: Bacterial small subunit ribosomal RNA
Source: RNAcentral
GUCGAACGCUUUUUCUUUCACCGGAGCUUGCUCCGCCGAAAGAAAAAGAGUGGCGAACGGGUGAGUAACACGUGGGUAACCUGCCCAUCAGAAGGGGAUAACACUUGGAAACAGGUGCUAAUACCGUAUAACACUAUUUUCCGCAUGGAAGAAAGUUGAAAGGCGCUUUUGCGUCACUGAUGGAUGGACCCGCGGUGCAUAAGCUAGUUGGUGAGGUAACGGCUCACCAAGGCCACGAUGCAUAGCCGACCUGAGAGGGUGAUCGGCCACACUGGGACUGAGACACGGCCCAGACUCCUACGGGAGGCAGCAGUAGGGAAUCUUCGGCAAUGGACGAAAGUCUGACCGAGCAACGCCGCGUGAGUGAAGAAGGUUUUCGGAUCGUAAAACUCUGUUGUUAGAGAAGAACAAGGAUGAGAGUAAAACGUUCAUCCCUUGACGGUAUCUAACCAGAAAGCCACGGCUAACCACGUGCCAGCAGCCGCGGUAAUACGUAGGUGGCAAGCGUUGUCCGGAUUUAUUGGGCGUAAAGCGAGCGCAGGCGGUUUCUUAAGUCUGAUGUGAAAGCCCCCGGCUCAACCGGGGAGGGUCAUUGGAAACUGGGAGACUUGAGUGCAGAAGAGGAGAGUGGAAUUCCAUGUGUAGCGGUGAAAUGCGUAGGUAUAUGGAGGAACACCAGUGGCGAAGGCGGCUCUCUGGUCUGUAACUGACGCUGAGGC